This 422-nucleotide ribosomal RNA is filed under the name uncultured Bacteroides sp. RNAcentral's name for it is "bacterial SSU rRNA". It matches the Rfam family "Bacterial small subunit ribosomal RNA", at positions 355 to 774 of the family's 1533-position model. Lineage: Bacteria; Pseudomonadati; Bacteroidota; Bacteroidia; Bacteroidales; Bacteroidaceae. The record is from RNAcentral.
UGAGGAAUAUUGGUCAAUGGACGAGAGUCUGAACCAGCCAAGUAGCGUGAAGGAUGACUGCCCUAUGGGUUGUAAACUUCUUUUAUACGGGAAUAACCUCCGGUACGUGUACCGGACUGCAUGUACCGUAUGAAUAAGCAUCGGCUAACUCCGUGCCAGCAGCCGCGGUAAUACGGAGGAUGCGAGCGUUAUCCGGAUUUAUUGGGUUUAAAGGGAGCGUAGGUGGAAUGUUAAGUCAGCUGUGAAAGUCCGCGGCUCAACCGCGAAAUUGCAUUUGAUACUGGCAUUCUUGAGUACGGCAGAGGUAAGCGGAAUUCGUGGUGUAGCGGUGAAAUGCUUAGAUAUCACGAAGAACUCCGAUUGCGAAGGCAGCUUACUGGACCGGCACUGACACUGAUGCUCGAAAGUGUGGGUAUCAAACA